RNAcentral lists this ribosomal RNA (460 nucleotides) under uncultured bacterium. RNAcentral's name for it is "partial 16S ribosomal RNA". It matches the Rfam family "Bacterial small subunit ribosomal RNA", at positions 338 to 795 of the family's 1533-position model. The record is from RNAcentral.
CCUACGGGAGGCAGCAGUGAGGAAUAUUGGUCAAUGGACGAGAGUCUGAACCAGCCAAGUAGCGUGAAGGAUGACUGCCCUAUGGGUUGUAAACUUCUUUUAUAUGGGAAUAAAACGUUCCACGUGUGGGAUUUUGUAUGUACCAUAUGAAUAAGGAUCGGCUAACUCCGUGCCAGCAGCCGCGGUAAUACGGAGGAUCCGAGCGUUAUCCGGAUUUAUUGGGUUUAAAGGGAGCGUAGGUGGAUUGUUAAGUCAGUUGUGAAAGUUUGCGGCUCAACCGUAAAAUUGCAGUUGAAACUGGCAGUCUUGAGUACAGUAGAGGUGGGCGGAAUUCGUGGUGUAGCGGUGAAAUGCUUAGAUAUCACGAAGAACUCCGAUUGCGAAGGCAGUUCACUGGACUGUAACUGACACUGAGGCUCGAAAGUGUGGGUAUCAAACAGGAUUAGAUACCCGUGUAGUC